This 245-nucleotide ribosomal RNA is filed under the name uncultured bacterium. RNAcentral describes it as "partial 16S ribosomal RNA". It matches the Rfam family "Bacterial small subunit ribosomal RNA", at positions 15 to 244 of the family's 1533-position model. The record is from RNAcentral.
GAUCCUGGCUCAGGACGAACGCUGGCGGCGUGCCUAAUACAUGCAAGUCGAGCGAAGUUUUUCUGGUGCUUGCACUAGAAAAACUUAGCGGCGAACGGGUGAGUAACACGUAAAGAACCUGCCUCAUAGACGGGGACAACUAUUGGAAACGAUAGCUAAUACCGGAUAACAGCAUAAAUCGCAUGAUAUAUGUUUUAAAAAGUUGGUUUCGGCUAACACUAUGAGAUGGCUUUGCGGUGCAUUAG